Molecule: ribosomal RNA, 253 nt
Filed under: uncultured bacterium
Lineage: Bacteria
Description: partial 16S ribosomal RNA
Rfam family: Bacterial small subunit ribosomal RNA
Source: RNAcentral
UACAGAGGUCUCGAGCGUUGUUCGGAUUCAUUGGGCGUAAAGGGUGCGUAGGUGGCGCCGUAAGUCGGGUGUGAAAUUUCGGAGCUUAACUCCGAAACUGCAUUCGAUACUGCGGUGCUUGAGGACUGGAGAGGAGACUGGAAUUCAUGGUGUAGCAGUGAAAUGCGUAGAUAUCGGGAGGAAUACCGAUGGCGAAGGCAGGUCUCUGGGCUGACACUGACGCUCAUGCACGAAAGCGUGGGGAGCAAACAGG